This 97-nucleotide ribosomal RNA is filed under the name Prevotellaceae bacterium. The record is from RNAcentral. Lineage: Bacteria; Pseudomonadati; Bacteroidota; Bacteroidia; Bacteroidales; Prevotellaceae.
UAGCGUUGGAGUACACCUCUAUCCAUACCGAACAGAGAAGUUAAGCCCGAUAGCGCCGAUGGUACUGCGGAAGUGGGAGAGUAGGUUGCCGCCUAAU